Molecule: ribosomal RNA, 694 nt
Filed under: uncultured Corallina sp.
Lineage: Eukaryota; Rhodophyta; Florideophyceae; Corallinales; Corallinaceae
Description: bacterial SSU rRNA
Rfam family: Bacterial small subunit ribosomal RNA
Source: RNAcentral
GGAUAACGCUGGCGGUAUGCUAACGAUCUCACAUCGAACGAAAGUUAUCCUUGACUGAGCGGACGGGUGAGUAAUACGUGAGAAUCUACCUUUAGGAAGGGAAUAACAAUUGGAAACGAUUGCUAAUGCCCUAUAUGCUUAGCAGUGAAACAGAUUAUCUGCCUGAAGAUGAGCUCGCGCCUGAUUAGCUAGUUGGUAGAGUAAAAGCCUACCAAGGCAACGAUCAGUAGCUGGUUUGAGAGGACGAUCAGCCACACUGGGACUGAGACACGGCCCAGACUUCUACGGAAGGCAGCAGUGGGGAAUUUUCCGCAAUGAGCGAAAGCUUGACGGAGCAAUAACGCGUGAGGGAAGAAUGCCUGUGGGUUGUAAACCUCUUUUUUUAGGGAAGACAAAUAUGACGGUACCUAACGAAUAAGCAUCGGCUAACUCCGUGCCAGCAGCCGCGGUAAUACGGGGGAUGCAAGCGUUAUACGGAAAUAAUGGGCGUAAAGCGGUCUUGCAGGUGGCUAUAAAAGUCUGCUGUUAAAUAUAAGAGCUCAACUCUGAGUAAGCAGUGGAAACUGUUAGGAUAGAGUAUGGAAUGGGUAAAGGAACUCCCAGAGUAGCGGUGAAAUGCGUAGAUUUUGGGAAGAACACAGUAGGAAAGAGCUUAAUAGAACAUUACUGGAACUCAGAAAAGAAAACUAAGGGA